AACGAGGCCGACCUGCGGCUGAGUUACCUGCGGAAGGAUCAUUACAGAGUUCAUGCCCUCACGGGUAGAUCUCCCACCCUUGAAUACUAUACCUUUGUUGCUUUGGCGGGCCGCUUUGGCUACUGGCUCUGGCUAGUAAGUGCCCGCCAAAGAACCCCAAAACUCUGAAUAUUAGUGUCGUCUGAGUACUAUAUAAUAGUUAAAACUUUCAACAACGGAUCUCAGAUCGGAAGAGCACAC
RNAcentral lists this unclassified non-coding RNA (240 nucleotides) under soil metagenome. Its description in RNAcentral is "partial contains 5.8S ribosomal RNA, internal transcribed spacer 2, and large subunit ribosomal RNA". The record is from RNAcentral.